AACACCUCAAAAGCUUUCUUCUUUUUGAAGAGAGUUUUUGGACUUGAGCGAACCCAACGCCUGAUCUCGUCUUGUAUUAGAUGGGUGAGGUGGCGGGUUGCUUGAAAUGCAGGUGCAGCUGGACUUUUCUUCUGAGCUAAAAGCAUAUCUAUUUAGUCCCGUCAAACGGAUUAUUACUUUUGCUGCAGCUAACAUAAAGGAAGAUUAGACCGAUUUAGCUGACUGAAGCAGGAUUUCACAAAGCCGGAAACGGUUUUGUAAA
RNAcentral lists this unclassified non-coding RNA (262 nucleotides) under uncultured Mortierella. RNAcentral's name for it is "sequence contains ITS2". The record is from RNAcentral. Lineage: Eukaryota; Fungi; Mortierellomycota; Mortierellomycetes; Mortierellales; Mortierellaceae.